Long non-coding RNA from Brachypodium distachyon (stiff brome), 1822 nucleotides. RefSeq lists it as uncharacterized. NCBI's taxonomy places the organism in Eukaryota, Viridiplantae, Streptophyta, Magnoliopsida, Poales, Poaceae. The transcript has 2 exons. The record is from RefSeq and is a predicted model, not a curated record.
CGUCUCCAAAAAAAAAAUUAAGAACUCACCCGACGGCCAAACCCAACAAACGACCGCACUCCAGAGUCCAGACUCCCAAGUAGGCUCAACUACGACUCUACGAGCCCAUGAGAAGUCUUUUAGAGCCCAAGGCCCCGCCCAGUUCCAUUUCUUUGAAAUGAAUCACACGAGCCCACGAGAAGUAGCCCAUCACAACUCGAGAGAUGGCCGCGCUGCUCUCUCUCGCCCGCUCGUGUUCCCUGACCGGGCGGUCCCCGUGCGGUGCCGCUCCUAGCCGACUCGAAUCCCUCGCCGUCGCUGGCCACGAGGCAAGAGCCCCGGUGCGCGGUCUCCAGAGUCCAGACGACACCGCCGCCGCGAGAGGUCCGUCCUAUUUCAUCAUCUAAUUCAGGGGUUGCUGGAUAAUGUGUUGCCUGCCAUGGGUUUUUUUAGCAGGCAGAAGUCAUUCCUUAGGAGCAACACUGUGUUGCAUCUGGAUAAUAUGGCAACUGGCAAGUACACAUGUGGGCCAGAUUGAGAAGGAAUUCAAGAGCGUUCCUUUUCCUUUUGCUGUUCUCUGCUACAGCAGCAGAAUAUGCUGAAUUCCUAGUUGAUGGUGAAAGCUUCUAUACUCGAGGUAGCAGCUGCACCCAUUUCAGACACUGGCGAGAUCGCUUCAUCCAGAACCACAAUCACAUGAGCCUGGUCCUGUGGUCUUCCGCCGAAGGUUUUGCUCAUUCUUGAGACAGAUGCAAGUUAUACAUAAUGGGAGCUUUUGUUUCUGUUAAUGGUUGGUAUCAGCAAAGGAAUCAGUUCUGUUCCCAGUUAACAAAAUCUCUAGCUGUUCGUUGUAGCACUUAUGGACCAGUGAGGACCAUAUGCAGUUGCACCUGUUGGUGGAAGAGCAAGCAAUAGUGCUCCAAAAGGAUCUGCCUUUUAAAACUGCUCUAUGGAGAUCUUUUGGCUCCAGAACUGCAGAAGUUGAGAUGGGUGAUAGUUGGUACCACUAAGAUAUGGUAGGCCGGUUGAUCUUACAACAUUGAUCCUUGUAGUGUUCUGCACCUUUGUUUGGAUGACGUUAGAUUGUUUACAGCCAAUGGUGUUCAGGUAUUUGGCCAGGUAACUCUUUCGAGCACUUCCACAGCCUGUGCUUAUGACACUCACAACAGUAUAUUUAGAGAUUAGGAAGACGUAUGCUCUGGUUAACAGUAAGAUAUAUACCUGCAGGAAACCAAGUAAACUGAACAGAGCAGUUAAGUAACUAAACAAUAAUCGCUAUUGUGGAGUCUUGGCAGAAGAAGCAAAGGUUUCGAGAGAGUGGCUAGUAAGCAGAACGAUAGGCCUCUAGCUGCCAUGCACGUGGGUUUCAUAAUAAGGGUCGAUUUUGCAUUGCAAAUACUGUUAAGUGCUAGCGGAGCACAUUGGGAAUUGCUUUUAUCAUAGCUAUAAGAUGGCAAGCAGGAGGCAAGACAGUUCAAAAGGAUUCUAAGUUUCCACCAAGGGACAUAAUCUCCUGUUUCUAUGAGGUUUCGGACAUAGUAGGGAACUAUGGAUUAUGGAUUUUGGGAGUAUGUCAAGCUUAUUGUUUAACCUGUUGAAUUCCAAUGUGCAAUAUCAUGAAUGGAGGAUGAGGAUAGGGCAAUUUUGUUGUUGAGGACGACUGUAAGCAUUUUUUUUUUGUGAGUUUAUUCAUUCUCUGGUGCCUGCAGGAGUGCAGGGGCAUCAGUUCGACAGGGCUUCUAUAUCAUAAAUUCAUAUGACAAAUGUAAAUCAUCUGCCACCUAUGUGAAUGUAAACAAUAUAUGAGUCAAAUACGAAAGGUAUGAUUCACAGUUUUCCUUAA